CUGCUCACUUUGGCAACACAUAUACUAACAUUGGAAUGACACAGAGAUUAGCAUGGCCCCUCCACAAGGAUGACACGCACAUUCAUGAAGCAUUCCAUUUUUUC
Molecule: small nuclear RNA, 104 nt
Filed under: Pongo abelii (Sumatran orangutan)
Lineage: Eukaryota; Metazoa; Chordata; Mammalia; Primates; Hominidae
Source: RNAcentral